RNAcentral lists this ribosomal RNA (468 nucleotides) under uncultured bacterium. RNAcentral's name for it is "partial 16S ribosomal RNA". It matches the Rfam family "Bacterial small subunit ribosomal RNA", at positions 28 to 507 of the family's 1533-position model. The record is from RNAcentral.
GACGAACGCUGGCGGCGUGCUUAACACAUGCAAGUCGAACGGAAAGGCCCUGCUUUUGUGGGGUGCUCGAGUGGCGAACGGGUGAGUAACACGUGAGUAACCUGCCCUUGACUUUGGGAUAACUUCAGGAAACUGGGGCUAAUACCGGAUAGGAGCUCCUGCUGCAUGGUGGGGGUUGGAAAGUUUCGGCGGUUGGGGAUGGACUCGCGGCUUAUCAGCUGGUUGGUGGGGUAGUGGCUUACCAAGGCUUUGACGGGUAGCCGGCCUGAGAGGGUGACCGGCCACAUUGGGACUGAGAGACGGCCCAGACUCCUACGGGAGGCAGCAGUGGGGAAUAUUGCACAAUGGGCGGAAGCCUGAUGCAGCAACGCCGCGUGCGGGAUGACGGCCUUCGGGUUGUAAACCGCUUUCGCCUGUGGCGAAGCGUGAGUGACGGUAAUGGGUAAAGAAGCACCGGCUAACUACGUG